RNAcentral lists this ribosomal RNA (253 nucleotides) under uncultured bacterium. RNAcentral describes it as "partial 16S ribosomal RNA". It matches the Rfam family "Bacterial small subunit ribosomal RNA", at positions 524 to 776 of the family's 1533-position model. The record is from RNAcentral.
UACAGGGGGGGCAAGCGUUGUCCGGAAUUACUGGGCGUACAGCGCGCGCAGGCGGUCCACUACGUGCCGUGUGACAGCCGUCGGCUUAACCGACGGAGGCCAGGGUACACGGGUGAACUUGAGGCAGAGAGAGGGAUGUGGAAUACCCGGUGGAGCGGUGAAAUGCGUAGAGAUCGGGUGGAACACCAGGGGCGAAGGCGGCAUCCUGGCUCUGUACUGACGCUGAGGCGCGAGAGCGUGGGGAGCAAACCGG